CCAGAUAUUCCUGUACCACCGCUAUAUGAUGACGAAGCAGUGACGCAGAAAGGUAGAGCGAGCGGCCAGUUGGUGAGCCGUUCAAGUGAGUAGGGUGUUGCGUAGGCAAAUCCGCGCAACGUGAGCCUGAGACACGAUGACGAGUGAAAAAUAGUAACGAAGUCCUUGAUCCUCCGCUGCCAAGAAAAGCUGCUAAGGAAUAUAGAGGUGCCCGUACCGCAAACCGACACAGGUAGACAGGUAGAGAAUACUAAGGCGCGCGAGAUAACUCUUGUUAAGGAACUCUGCAAAAUGAACCCGUAACUUCGGGAGAAGGGUUGCUCUCUAGCGUGAGUAUGAGCAAUACAGAGCGCAGGAGAGUCGCAGUGAAAAGGUCCAGGCGACUGUUUAGCAAAAACACAGGUCAUUGCAAAAUCGCAAGAUGAAGUAUAAUGGCUGACGCCUGCCCGGUGCUGGAAGGUUAAGGGGAAGAGUGCAAGCUUUGAACCGAAGCCCCAGUAAACGGCGGCCGUAACGAUAACGGUCCUAAGGUAGCGAAAUUCCUUGUCGGGUAAGUUCCGACCCGCACGAAAGGCGAAACGAUCUGGACGCUGUCUCAACAAGGGACUCGGUGAAAUUGAAAUUCCGGUAAAGAUGCCGGAUACCUGCGAUAGGACAGAAAGACCCCAUGGAGCUUUACUGUAGCCUGAUAUUGGGUUUCGGAUAUUCAUGUACAGGAUAGGUGGGAGACUAAGAAGCAUGGACGCCAGUUUGUGCGGAGUCACUGGUGGGAUACCACCCUUAAAUGUUUGGAAUUCUAACAAGGAGUCUUGAAGCAGAUUAUUGGACAGUGUCAGGUGGGCAGUUUGACUGGGGCGGUCGCCUCCCAAAAGGUAACGGAGGCGCUCAAAGGUUCCCUCAGAACGGAUGGAAAUCGUUCGCAGAGUGCAAAGGCAGAAGGGAGCUUGACUGCGAGAGCCACAACUCGAGCAGAUAGGAAACUAGGACUUAGUGAUCCGGCGGUCGCGAGUGGAAGUGCCGUCGCUCAACGGAUAAAAGCUACCCUGGGGAUAACAGGCUUAUCUCCCCCAAGAGUUCACAUCGACGGGGAGGUUUGGCACCUCGAUGUCGGCUCAUCGCAUCCUGGGGCUGAAGUAGGUCCCAAGGGUUGGGCUGUUCGCCCAUUAAAGCGGUACGCGAGCUGGGUUCAGAACGUCGUGAGACAGUUCGGUCCCUAUCCAUCGCGGGCGUAGGAAAUUUGAAGGGAGCUGACCCUAGUACGAGAGGACCGGGUUGGACAGACCGCUGGUGAACCAGUUGUUCUGCCAAGAGCAUAGCUGGGUAGCUAAGUCUGGAAAAGAUAAACGCUGAAAGCAUCUAAGCGUGAAGCGAACCUUAAGAUGAGAUUUCCCACAACGAAAGUUGAUAAGACACCAGAGAGAAUAACUGGUAGAUAGGUCAGGAGUGUAAGUGUGGUGACACAUUAAGCGGACUGAUACUAAUAAGUC
RNAcentral lists this ribosomal RNA (1487 nucleotides) under metagenome. RNAcentral's name for it is "bacterial LSU rRNA". It matches the Rfam family "Bacterial large subunit ribosomal RNA", at positions 1429 to 2910 of the family's 2925-position model. The record is from RNAcentral.